GAUGAAGAACGUAGCGAAAUGCGAUAAGUAAUGUGAAUUGCAGAAUUCAGUGAAUCAUCGAAUCUUUGAACGCACAUUGCGCCCCUUGGUAUUCCGGGGGGCAUGCCCGUUCGAGCGUCAUUAUCACCCCUCAAGCCCCGGCUUGGUGUUGGACUUAGUUACGGAUCACCAUAACUGGCCUCAAAGAUAGUGGCGGCGCCCCAGAGGGAACCGGUACGAGGAGCUUCUAGUUAAGCAUGUACGCGGGACGACUUUGCGGGCGACGGUCUUUUUCAUUUCUCAAGUGUUGACCUCGGAUCAGGUAGGAAUACCCGCUGAACUUAAGCAUAUCAAUAAGCGGAGGA
This 344-nucleotide unclassified non-coding RNA is filed under the name soil metagenome. RNAcentral's name for it is "partial contains 5.8S ribosomal RNA, internal transcribed spacer 2, and large subunit ribosomal RNA". The stretch from base 1 to 120 matches the Rfam family "5.8S ribosomal RNA", at positions 35 to 154 of the family's 154-position model. The record is from RNAcentral.